This is a non-coding RNA of Tetranychus urticae (two-spotted spider mite), 3195 nucleotides long. Lineage: Eukaryota; Metazoa; Arthropoda; Arachnida; Trombidiformes; Tetranychidae. The record is from RefSeq and is a predicted model, not a curated record.
UAAAGCUUAAAUUCAGUGAACAAAUAAUCCACCAGAUGGAGGCACGCUCAUCAGUUAUUCAACAUGUUAAGUCGAUUUAACGAUGCACAAGAUGGCGAAUAAAGCCAUUAAAGUUAAUUGUUUUGUGAAAAAGUAAAUGAUUUAAGGAAAAGAAACAGCAAGCAAACAAACAAUCACAAUCUCGAUGGACGUUAAUCACGAUGCAAAUCGUUAAUGGCUGAAUAAUGAAAAAUUGUCAAGUUAAAAACUGUAAGUAGUCAAGUUUAUAACUCAAAAUGUUUACCCAAACAAAUCUGAUAAAUUAUCAAAAUGGACUUUUGAAUAUUGAAAAGCAAUUGGCUAUCAAGCAAGAUGUAGAUUAAUUAAGAUGUUUAACGCUCAAUGAAUGGACAAACUCUGGCUUUACCAAGAUUGUUACAGCUGCUUCUUAGAUAUAUCUUAUGACCAUUGAUCAUUGAGCAUAAACUUGUUCAAGGAAUCAAUUGAUAAUCUAACCUUAUCGUUUUCAACAAGCUAUCAACAAGCUAAGUGAUUAAAGUUUUAAAAUAAUCUGGUAACGUAGAAAGGAAUCGGAAAAGCAGGAAUCACUUAUAAAAAACAAGUUGCAGAAAAAGUGAAAAAUGAAAACGAUAAAGUUGGAGUUGCUAAUAGUAAAGAUGAUUAUGAUGAUGCCAAUGAUUAUCAUGAUUAUGACCAUUAAGAAGGAGUUAUAAAUGAUCGACAUUUUGGCCUGAAUAAAUCGAAGUGUUAAAGUUGGCUAUAAGUUACUGUUCGUAAUAUAAUGGAGCAUUAGAUGAGAGCAACAGUGCAAAAGAUGUCUUCAAAUGAUUAUCUCUGUUGUUGUUUUUUUCAUUUUUUGCCUUUCUUUUUCAUCAUCAUCUUGAUUCAUCUUCCUUUCCGGUAUAACUGAACAGAUGAAAUGUGAUGAUCAAGACGAGAAAGAUGAGAAAGGCCGAGGAAAAAAAAGAUAGUUGAAGCUCAUUUAACGUAAAAAUUAUGAGACAUAAACUCAGUUGUUCAAAGUGAUACACAUACAUAAGGAUUAUCGAGACUCAGGAUUUACCACAGUUUCCUUCAUCUUUUUUCAUCUUUUCCACUUUUCUUCAUUAUUAUCAUCAUCAACCUGAUCAUCAUCACCAUCACCAUCAGUAACAUCAUGAUGAUCAUCAUAAUCGUCAUAAUAAUCAUCAUCAUCAACAGACAAACAUAAAGCUAAAGCAACACACACACACAUUCAACCCAUCAAACCAUUGGGAUCAUCAUCAUUUUUCUUUUCAUCCUCAUCAUCUUUUUUCACUGUUUAUGAGCGUAAUCGAACUCGAAAUAGACAGUAGAAAAGAAAGUGAACGGGAAAAGCUAAAUGAUGAUGGUUAUUAUGAUGAUGAUGAAGAAGAAAGUAAAAGAUGACUUCACGAAUACGAAUCGCUCAAUUAUGAUCAAUUUUCAUCAUUGCCGUCACUUGAUGAGAUUGAGUAAAGGCAAACAACAACAAGAAUUACAGCCAUUUAUCUUCUCUUUCUCAUUCUCAUCCUCAUCAUCAUCAUUCUGGGACUUGAUAUGCUUGUGAUGUUACCUUCUUAAUAGAUAUUUAUUUAUAUAAUAAUAAUGAUAAUGAUAAUAAUAUAUAAACAUGUAAACCUUCAUUGGUUUUUAUCCAACUUUUGUUCACUUUUUUCCUUCUUCUUUCUUCUCCUUUCUUCCAACAGUUCAGAGCCUGUGAAGAUGAAUCUGUGGCUUUCAUCAUAAUAUUAACUAUCAUCAUAAUAGUGCUCAUCAUCAUCAUCGUCAACAUCAAUAACAACAUCAACGGAUGCUCAGUUUAUACUAACUGUGUUUUAUUUUGAUUGUCAUUGUCGAUCAAAUAAAUUUUAGUUGAUGGAGAGUCAAAAGGGAUGAGAGAAAUGAAAUAAAAGUUUUCAUUCUCUUCCAUCAUCACUGUUGAUGAUGAUGAGAGUUAUCAUUCUGAUCCUGUGUUACCAUCAACUGAUGAAGUAACAUGUCAUUUUGGGCAUUCUCUUUCUUCCAUCUCUUCCAAAUCAUCCUUUGCCUUCACUCACUCACUCACAUCUUUUCAUUUGGUUGUCAGGUCAACCUAUUGAUUGAAUGAAUAGUUCACCAGGAAAUUGUCUUUGACUCACUCAGUCACUACUUUUAUCUCACUCAUUUAUUCUGAACCCAGAAUCAUCAUCAUCAUCAUCACAGGGAAACUUUUUUUUUGCGCUCAAAACAUUUUCUCAGUAAACAUAAAGAUAAAGAAAGAUAAAUGGGGCUAUAAGAAAUAAGGAGAGAUGAAGAUGAUGAGGAUGAUGAUCAAGAAGGCAACUGAAUCAUGAUGAUGAAGGAGGAGGAGGAGGAGGCAAAUUGAUGCCUUGAGGAUUGUCUUGUUUCCCUUUUAUUGUGUCAUUUUACGCAGAAUCAACUUGCAGCAUUUCAUUUUGUCAAUCAUAAUCUCAAGCUUCACACAAUUUUUUCAUCGCCAUAUUUUGCCAACUUCAACUUUCCCCUAUUGAUUUACAUUCAAUUUUCAUUAGAAUCAUCUUUGCAGCAAUUUUCCCUGCUUGAAGGUGCAAUCAGAAUGGGUUAAUCAACAUUUUAAUUUUUAGUAAAAUAUUUACAUUCUCAUGAAAAGAUAACUUGAAGGAAUGUUUAUCGAUCAGCCAAAAGAGACGAAAAGAUGAGGAAGAAGAAGAAGACAUUUCACUGAGUGACAGUUGAACAUUGAGUGUUACUGAGAAUGAUGAGAAUGACGAGAAUGAUGGUGAAGAUUAAGAAAGCUAAAAUGGCCUUUCCCUGUCUUCAUUUGCCAUCUGAGUGAUGCUUCAAUCGUCAGUGUCAAAAUGCUACUUUAAAAGGCAACAUGGAAAAGUUAACAUGAAAAUGAUGGAAAUGGUGAGAUGAAGAUAAAUCUGGUAAAGAUGAAUAUUGAAAUAAACAUUUGAUAAGCUUACAACCUGUUUAUCCCUGCAAGAUCAAAUGGUUAUCUUGAUCAACAAUCCCUGUUAUCAGUCCAACUUUUAACUCCCAACCAACUUCACUUUAACAUUCAACUUUCAUUUUAAACAAACAAUUUUGGUUAAAAAUUUCUUCUCUAAUUAACUCACCUUAAUGUUAUAUCUUUUCACCGUUGGUCAAACAAACAAAGGUCAAAAUGUGUUGCUUUCAAGUGUUCAAAAAGAGAUAUUUUUUUGCUUCUCA